UUUUUAUAAGUAUAUUAAGUUAUUAUAUUAUGUAAUGUAUUUUAUAUAUGUAUAUAUUAAUCAUUUCUAAAAAACUCACCUUCAUCAUUUAUACUUUGUUUUAAAUAUUUUAUUAAAUACUUCAUCUUUUUUUUAAAUUUUUCUUUUUGUAUUUUUUUCUUAUCUUUAUUUUUGAUUUGUAUGUUCGUAAUUUGGUAUCUUAUUGUAUUUACUAAAUAUUAUUUUAAAAUGGUAACAAUAUCUCACCACCUAUUUAUUAUUUUUAUAUUUAUUGCUUACCACAUUUGCAUAAAAAUUGAUUACUUAUGUUGUUUUAAGUUAUAUUUUUAUAGAAUAUUGUUAUACAUUAUGAAAUUUAUAUAUUGCUAGAUUCAUUUCCUUCUAUGUUAUAUUUUGUCUGAAAUAUUAUUAUGUAUUACGUAAUCUAUAUUGUUAUUUUCAUUAUAUUCUAUGAUUAUAACUGUAUAAAAAGAUAACGUAUAUUGCGUAAUUUAUGCCAUUAUUCAUCAUAUUUUAUAUUAUAUUUGCAUGAAAUGUUAAAAUAUGUAUUAUGUAGGUUAAUUUACUUAAUAUUGAUCCUUUGUAAUAUGAUGCAUCAUCAUUUUAAAGAACUUUUGUAUUCCAUUCGAUCCGAAAAGAUUUUUUUAGGCAAUGUUUUUGGUAGUUAGGGAUUCGGGAAGUAGUGCCCUAACAUGCGGGGUUGCAAUUUCCUGUUUGUCUAAAUGCCUAAAACACCCUUCUAAACGAUUUUAUAAAUUACGAGGUGAUUUCAGUUACAAGAGUAUUAGCAUAUUGUGUCCUAUCAUGCUGGAUGUGAUAUUCGUAUUCUUUUGGAAUGAAGAAAUCUCGAUUCUAAACUCGAGCUAUUUUAAUUUCAAAAGGGAUCAUAUUUUUAAAUACUUUCAAAAUUCUAGCAUCAAAGACAGAAAGUUAUUCAAUUUGGUACCAAUUUUUUGGGCGUUACGAGGGUGCUAACCCUUCCUUGUACGUAACCGACUUCCGAACCUAUUUUCUCGUAAUUUCGUAGACCAAAACAUUUUAUAAAGUGAUCCAAUCACACUUUAAAAGAUUGGUGGCGACUCCCAUUUUUAUUUUUUUUAAAUAAAUAAAAACUCAUUUUUUAAACAGGUUUCGACAGCGCCGUUUCAAACUUUGUACAAAAUCUAGCCUAAAACCCUAAAAUAAUACCUUCAGCCACUUCAACAAAUCAGAAUAAAGGAAAAAAAACUAAAACCUCUCCUUAUUCACUUGGCUGAACCAGAGGCAUCCCUCAGCCUCCACUUCGUCUCCAUAUCAUCAAAUCGGAUCUACUAAUCCCCAUCAAAGCUUCGAUUUCAACGAAGCAAACAAGGAUUCAAAGGCUCCUUCAAACAGAUAAGUGUUUAUGCCUUUAUUUAUUUUGUAUUUUUACAUACAAUAAUGAAGAUCAAAGAAAAAAAUAUAAGCCAAAAUCGAAAGAAAAAUGAGAACUCAAAUCACCUUUUCCAAGCUGUUUUUUUCUAUUCAAACUUUUUGUACAGAUUUGUAUGCGUAAAAAAAUUCCCCCCAAUACACUGUUGCACUUGGCUUUUUAUAGCCAAAAAUGAAAAAAAUUAAAUACACGUUUUCUACUUUCUUCUUUGCUGUAUUCUGUUGUGGUUUGUUAACUUGCUGCAGGAGGAUCCAGCUAGAGGUGGUGGAGCACGUAGAGCGUGAAGCAACGACUCGCGUGGAAGCUGGCACAAAGGCAGUAGCGGCGCAAGGGAAAAAAACCCUAGGGUUCUAAAAGUUUCAAUUUUCCCCGGCCAUUUAGGCUAUUUUAAGAUUGGGCCUUAUUGUAAAAUGAGUUUAAAAUUUGGGCUUAAAUUUGUUUGUGGGUUAAAUGUAAACUUGGUAUUUAUAGACUGUGGACUAUAUUUUAUUUUUAUUUGGUUUAUUUAUUUGUUUGUAAAUAAAUUUAAAGGCCUGGGCAAAAUGGGCCUUCUACAAUAGAAAUAUAAGAAUAAUAGAAAUAUAAAUAGAUAAAUAAUAAUAGUAUUUGAAUAAGAAAAUUUAUGGAAAUAUAAUAAUAAUAUUAAUAAUAUAUUAAAUUUUUUAAUUUAAUAAUAACGUAGCGAAAAUAACAAAAAGAAGACUAAUUUGAACUUUAAAACAAAAUUUUGGGGCGAUAUCAGAGAUAAAUAAAAGAAAAGGAACCAAUUUGAACGCGCGAAUAACAAGGAGGGAUCAAAAGGGUAAUAGUCGCCGCCCUCCAA
RNAcentral lists this long non-coding RNA (2234 nucleotides) under Gossypium barbadense (sea-island cotton). Its description in RNAcentral is "long non-coding RNA (GBAR_LNC008401)". Lineage: Eukaryota; Viridiplantae; Streptophyta; Magnoliopsida; Malvales; Malvaceae. The record is from RNAcentral.